This 253-nucleotide ribosomal RNA is filed under the name uncultured bacterium. Its description in RNAcentral is "partial 16S ribosomal RNA". It matches the Rfam family "Bacterial small subunit ribosomal RNA", at positions 524 to 776 of the family's 1533-position model. The record is from RNAcentral.
UACGUAGGGUGCGAGCGUUGUCCGGAAUUAUUGGGCGUAAAGGGCUCGUAAGCGGUUUGUCACGUCGGGAGUGAAAACUCGGGGCUCAACCCCGAGCCUGCUUCCGAUACGGGCAGACUAGAGGUAUGCAGGGGAGAAUGGAAUUCCUGGUGUAGCGGUGAAAUGCGCAGAUAUCAGGAGGAACACCGGUGGCGAAGGCGGUUCUCUGGGCAUUACCUGACGCUGAGGAGCGAAAGUGUGGGGAGCGAACAGG